Molecule: ribosomal RNA, 466 nt
Filed under: uncultured bacterium
Lineage: Bacteria
Description: partial 16S ribosomal RNA
Rfam family: Bacterial small subunit ribosomal RNA
Source: RNAcentral
GACGAACGCUGGCGGCGUGCUUAACACAUGCAAGUCGAACGGAAAGGCCCAGCUUGCUGGGUACUCGAGUGGCGAACGGGUGAGUAACACGUGGGUGAUCUGCCCUGCACUCUGGGAUAAGCCUGGGAAACUGGGUCUAAUACCGGAUAUGACCGACUGUCGCAUGGUGGUUGGUGGAAAGCUUUUGCGGUGUGGGAUGGGCCCGCGGCCUAUCAGCUUGUUGGUGGGGUAAUGGCCUACCAAGGCGACGACGGGUAGCCGACCUGAGAGGGUGAUCGGCCACUCUGGGACUGAGACACGGCCCAGACUCCUACGGGAGGCAGCAGUGGGGAAUAUUGCACAAUGGGCGCAAGCCUGAUGCAGCGACGCCGCGUGCGGGAUGACGGCCUUCGGGUUGUAAACCUCUUUCACCAGGGACGAAGCGUGAGUGACGGUACCUGGAGAAGAAGCACCGGCCAACUACGUG